This is a long non-coding RNA of Neofelis nebulosa (Clouded leopard), 813 nucleotides long. RefSeq lists it as uncharacterized. NCBI's taxonomy places the organism in Eukaryota, Metazoa, Chordata, Mammalia, Carnivora, Felidae. The record is from RefSeq and is a predicted model, not a curated record. The transcript is spliced from 2 exons.
UUAUUGACAAUUCAUUCUCUACACACGUACAGUAUUGCACAAAUGACAGGUGGACCGACAAGUGUAUUAACAAUACGAACUCGCAAGCACCUACAGAGCCACCGCGCUAGGUUUUGGUGCAUUCCGUGCCGGGUACUUCAGUAAACAGGACGGACAGAAGUGUGACAGCUACCUCAUGAGAACCGGCUUUCAAAAAAAGCAAGUGUUGUAGAACACUUAGUAUGUCAAACCCAGGAAAAUCACUAAAUGACAAAAGGAACACUGUCAAAGAAAAGGUGGUAGUGACAAUGUUAGGUUAAGAAUUUCACUGAACUUGAGAUUCAGAAAACGUACACGUACUGGGAGUUUGAAGAAAAGACCCUCAUGUUCGGCCCUCAUGAAGACCCUCAACAUUCGAGAAGGAUAUUUCUGGGGCGCUACAGUGUCCUCUCUACUGCAGAAAACAUGUCUCAUAGCUCUAAAGAAACAAGACGGUAAUUCACAUGAGUGGGUUUUAAAAUACGAUUCUUCUCACUCAAAAUAAAAUAAACUAAAUAAUGAUCUUUGUCAAAUUACAGGAAAAUCUUAUCAGAAUGCCAACCAGAUAGAGAAGCCAGUCCACACGCUGAGCGUUGCUGCCUGCCUCAGACUGUGGAGCCGGCGUGUCCCCUACACAGAAGGGGACACGAGAGUGGUCCCAGCUCCGCUGCUACAGAGCCUACGGUACAGAAUUGAGGGGUGGACUGGAUGGCUUUUCAGACACCUUUCAACCAAAAGGAUCUAAGCCAGCUUGAGACUCCACCGUGGAGGGGACACUGAGGGUGGCAAAAGAAA